GAGAUGCCAAUUGGUUGGCGCCACGACUGUUAAUCGUGUUGUGCAGGUUCGAAUCCUGCUCUCA
Molecule: transfer RNA, 64 nt
Filed under: Eubacterium sp.
Lineage: Bacteria; Bacillati; Bacillota; Clostridia; Eubacteriales; Eubacteriaceae
Description: tRNA-Asn
Rfam family: tRNA
About the family: Transfer RNA (tRNA) molecules are approximately 80 nucleotides in length. Their secondary structure includes four short double-helical elements and three loops (D, anti-codon, and T loops). Further hydrogen bonds mediate the characteristic L-shaped molecular structure. tRNAs have two regions of fundamental functional importance: the anti-codon, which is responsible for specific mRNA codon recognition, and the 3' end, to which the tRNAs corresponding amino acid is attached (by aminoacyl-tRNA synthetases). tRNAs cope with the degeneracy of the genetic code in two manners: having more than one tRNA (with a specific anti-codon) for a particular amino acid; and 'wobble' base-pairing, i.e. permitting non-standard base-pairing at the 3rd anti-codon position.
Source: RNAcentral